UUUCGACCAUGCCACGUUUAAACACCAGUUCCGUACGAUCACCGAAGUUAAGCAACGUCGAGCCUCGUCAGUACCGAGAUGGGUGACCGCUUGCGAAUACCAGGAGU
Molecule: non-coding RNA, 107 nt
Organism: Acanthosepion pharaonis
Lineage: Eukaryota; Metazoa; Mollusca; Cephalopoda; Sepiida; Sepiidae
Source: the annotation of a GenBank genome assembly